Microcebus murinus (gray mouse lemur) is the source of this 314-nucleotide non-coding RNA. Lineage: Eukaryota; Metazoa; Chordata; Mammalia; Primates; Cheirogaleidae. The record is from RefSeq and is a predicted model, not a curated record.
CUGUAGACUAUUGUUUUAGGCUGAGUUCCUUAGAUACAAAUUUUGAGGUGGAGAGUUGCGUGCAGUUUAUUGGAGAGUGACCUCUGUGAAGAAGUGAGGACCUUCAGACUAAGACCCUGAAGAAGCUGACCCCAUCACAUGUAGCUGCUGGGUGUAACACAGGAAGAGAGUCGGAUUUAACUGGAUCUGGAGUUUGGCCCUAAAGUACAGCGAAGGGAGAGAGAGGUUUUAGUGCACCAGCUUUCAAUCACAAAGGAGAAAGGGUGACCUUUGCACUGGAGAAAUCUAGCAGAUGUCAUCUCAGCCAAAUGACC